CCGACACCUUCUUCCCAGUGCGGCCCGGGCUGCGGCCCCGGGUCCGAGGAGGCCCGGGGAGACCCGGAGGAGGUCAGAAGGCCUUCAGGGUCCCCGGGAUGGGGUGGAAACUGAGACCCAGAGAGCCGUGACUUGACUGAUCCCACAGCCAGGAAAUGGUGGAGCCUGGAUUUGAACCCCAGCUUUUAAGAAGAAGGUGCCACUGUCCUGGAAGAACUCUCAGGACAGCAUUAGUGUCUCAGGGAUCCCCCUAAUCGGAGGGGCCUUAAGGCAACCUAAUCAUGAUUGUCACUGAAGAUCCAGGAGGGCUUCCUGGAGGAGGAGGCAGCUCCAUUCUGAAAUGCCAAGGGUACAGCUUUAUUGGGACAGCCAGUGUCUCUGAAUAUGUAGGUUUUGCACAGAGCUUGUACUGCCCCAGGGCCUGUACACUGCCUGUCCCCUCUGCCUUGUGCACUCUUUCCCUAGAUGUCCAAAUGGCUCCUUUCCUCACCUACCCCAAAUCUCAAUUCCAGUGUUUCCCCAGCCUCCCCUCAUUUCAGUAAUCACUCUGCAGUGAGCUAGGAUUGCGCCACUGCACUCCAGCUUGGAUAAGAGAACAAGACCCUGUCUCUUAACUAAAUACAUAAAUAAAAAUAAUUCCCCUCUUCAUCCCUCUUUACCCUGUUUUGAUGGUUUUGUUCAACUUUUCACCAAUAGGACUUUCUCUUAUGCAUUUACUCGUUUCUCUUCCAAUCCCUCCC
Molecule: long non-coding RNA, 740 nt
Filed under: Homo sapiens (human)
Lineage: Eukaryota; Metazoa; Chordata; Mammalia; Primates; Hominidae
Description: HSALNT0254796
Source: RNAcentral